Molecule: ribosomal RNA, 408 nt
Filed under: uncultured bacterium
Lineage: Bacteria
Description: partial 16S ribosomal RNA
Rfam family: Bacterial small subunit ribosomal RNA
Source: RNAcentral
GACGAACGCUGGCGGCGUGCUUAACACAUGCAAGUCGAACGAAGUGGCGAACGGGUGAGUAACGCGUAAUCAACCUGCCCUUCAGAGGGGGAUAACAGUUGGAAACGAAUGCUAAUACAGCAUACUGAAGGAGGGGAUUGCGUCUGAUUAGCUAGUUGGCGGGGUAACGGCCCACCAAGGCGAUGACCCGUAGCCGGGCUGAGAGGAUGAACGGCCACAUUGGGACUGAGGCACGGCCCAGACUCCUACGGGAGGCAGCAGUGUGGAAUCUUCCGCAAUGGACGAAAGUCCGACGGGGCAAAGCCGCGUGGGUGAUGACGGCCUUCGGGUUGUAAAGCUCUGUUAAUCGGGACGCGGUACCGGAAUAGAAAGCCACGGCUAACUACGUGCCAGCCGCCGCGGUAAUAC